RNAcentral lists this small RNA (88 nucleotides) under Pseudomonas sp. AD21. RNAcentral's name for it is "isrK". Lineage: Bacteria; Pseudomonadati; Pseudomonadota; Gammaproteobacteria; Pseudomonadales; Pseudomonadaceae. The record is from RNAcentral.
GCCGCUGCAAAAACAGCGGCUGGACGUGGAAGUCCGGUAGCCGGUUACAUCCAUCAAUGACUCAAAAGCACAUGUUGACGUUCUUUAU